AGAGACGUAUUUUAAAGAAUUGGCUCGUGGGAUUGUGGGGCCUGGAAAUCUGAAAUCUGCAGAGAAAGCCAGCAGGCUGGAAAUUCAGGAAGUGGCGAGGAAAGAAGAAUGAAGACAAAGAAUAUGGAGUUUCCAUUGAUUUAGCCAAGUCCAUAACAGAAGAAAAGUGCCUUCCUUCGGAACUUCCAAUACAAUGUGUGAGAAUGGACCUGUUACAACUUGUAUUACUCGCAGGGUUCCCCCACUACCAAGAAUAGGGGUGGCCUUAGAAGGCACUCUGAAGCAAGAAUCAGCAAGUGACUGAAUCUAUGAGACUCGUAUUGAUCAGCCUCAAAAGAAAUGAGUCCUACCUUCUCGGUCUCUUAAGAAAUUCAUUCUCUUGAAAAGCAAUUCAAAAAGAGCUUUCCCUAAUACACAUUAGAUAAACAAUGAGAUAUCCUCCUAGCUUUCUCUUGGGAAACUUUCACUUUAUAUCUUUUCAAUUUAUUCUCAUCUUUUUUUUUGUUCCUUCCUUCCCUACUUUUAGGCUUUGUCGUUCAAAAGCUAGCUCGUAGAAUUUUUUUAAAUCUUUGUAUUCAUAUAUCCCUAACUAGAGCAUGAUCUUUUUCUGGCUGGUGGAUCCUCCCCAGAAUGUUUGCAUGUAUUAGGGCUCCAGUGAAUAGGUGUUGGUCAUGAGGAAGGAUGACCAGCUAAGGGAGCUAAUGGCUUAGACAGACACUGUAGAAUUGCAAGGAAUAGAGAUGUGCUCAAGAUACCUUGGUUGGCGAGGUUUAUUGUUGCAGAAACACACUGGGUGGUAGCCAGUCAACCAAGACGGCGGCCAUCAAUUCCUUACCUUUCUUUGUGUACAUGCUGCACCCCAUGACCAAAGGUAGGGCCUUUUUUCUCCUCCCUUGUAUUUCGACUGGCCUCAUACCUUGCUUUCAACAGUGAAAUGUAACAGUGGUGAAGUUGGACUUGUUCCAAGCCUAGACUUUAAGCCUUCUGUUUCCUACUUCUUAGAAGCCAGUCACCAUGCAAGAAGCCUGCCUACCCAGUAACCAGCUGUGAGAAGUCCAAGCUGGCUACACAAAGGGGGGGACACUGAGGUGCCAGACAGGUGGGUAAGGCCUGCCUGAACCUUCCAGCUCUGCCCAACACUCAGCUGAAUGCAGUGAAUCAGCCAGCCCAGCUGAGAACACAGUGAGCAGAGGUUCUGAUCCUGCCUGGAUUCCAGACCCACAGAAUCCAGAGAAAUCAUGUGACUUUAAGCCACUAACUUUUGCAAUAGAUUAAUGUACAACAAUAGAUAAAACACACAGAAAAGUCAAGAAAAUGUUUUUGAAGAAAAGUGAUCUCCGUAGGUUAACUGCAGUUGGUUAAUACUAAUUUAUUGUAUAUUUCAAAAUAGCUAGAAGAUAAUAAUUAGAAUGUUCCUAGCAUAAAGAAAAGACAAUUUAAGGUGAUGGAUAUGCCAAUUACACUGAUUUGAUCUUUACACAUUAUAUGAAUGUAUUCAAUUAUCACAUGUACCCUGAAAAUAUGUACAUCUAUUAUGUGUAAUAAAAAUAAAUCAAAACUUUUUAAAGAAUAAAAAGCGGUCGCACAUCUAAACAGGG
Molecule: long non-coding RNA, 1598 nt
Organism: Homo sapiens (human)
Lineage: Eukaryota; Metazoa; Chordata; Mammalia; Primates; Hominidae
Exons: 2
Source: RefSeq, a predicted model, not a curated record